Molecule: ribosomal RNA, 431 nt
Filed under: uncultured bacterium
Lineage: Bacteria
Description: partial 16S ribosomal RNA
Rfam family: Bacterial small subunit ribosomal RNA
Source: RNAcentral
AAAGAAAGAUGGAGGCAGGCUUAACACAUGCAAGUCGAGCGCCCCGCAAGGGGAGCGGCAGACGGGUGAGUAACGCGUGGGAACGUACCUUUUGGUUCGGAACAACUCCGGGAAACUGGAGCUAAUACCGGAUAAGCCCUAACGGGGAAAGAUUUAUCGCCGAAAGAUCGGCCCGCGUCUGAUUAGCUAGUUGGUGAGGUAACGGCUCACCAAGGCGACGAUCAGUAGCUGGUCUGAGAGGAUGAUCAGCCACACUGGGACUGAGACACGGCCCAGACUCCUACGGGAGGCAGCAGUGGGGAAUAUUGGACAAUGGGCGCAAGCCUGAUCCAGCCAUGCCGCGUGAGUGAUGAAGGCCUUAGGGUUGUAAAGCUCUUUUGUCCGGGAAGAUAAUGACUGUACCGGAAGAAUAAGCCCCGGCUAACUUCGUG